Molecule: long non-coding RNA, 2131 nt
Organism: Tyto alba (common barn owl)
Lineage: Eukaryota; Metazoa; Chordata; Aves; Strigiformes; Tytonidae
Exons: 3
Source: RefSeq, a predicted model, not a curated record
AGUGAAUGUGUUCAUGUAGGAAAGUAUACUUAAGUCUCUUCUAGGGGGAAAAUGAUUCAUUUGACUUACAGUAGGAAAAGAAGAUGAUUUCCUUUGUGUAAGACUCCAUGGAGAAUUCCAUAUUUGGAAACUGUGUGCAGUUCCCCGUAUUUGGGAGAAUCUGUUUGCUGUUUCCUAAGGGUGUGUUCCUAACUGUGAGAACAGCCUAGACUUAAAAGGCAGAGGACUUUCUUCCCACUAGGAAUGCAGUCUACCAAGCUGCUUCAGCUGCUUCUUUGUCCAACUGAACAUUUGUCUUUCAUUUGAAUAUUGAAUUUAGUUAUCUGUUUGGAGAAUACAGAUUAAAUGACCAUCUUGUUAUUACAUCCUCUUUGGAUCCUAAACUUAAGACAGGCAGACAGUAGUUUUACCUAUUUAUCUGAAACAGCAGGUGGUUUGAUUAGGAAACUACAGGACAACAAUAGAUGAGAAAUUUUGCAGCUGGAAUAAAUUAAGCGUCUCCACGUAGAAGUCUGUAUUUACCAUGGCUCCAAGAGUCUUUCACAUUCAUUCACUAAAGUGACAGCAUAGGGUUUUGUAGAAUGGGGGUUUUAUGCGUGGCAGCAAACUUGAAAAUGUCAAAGUGACUGGGAAAAUUCCUUAGGAUUUAUGUUUUAAGUUAAUGCUUAAUCAGACUUUGCAAAAGCCAACCAAUCUGAUAGAGUGGUGAGAUAGGAGUCAGGUAAGACACAAAAUCCUUAUUAUAACAUGGGUAAUAACAUUAUAGCACCAUAACUAGUAGCUUUGUUUUCAAAGUAGGCUGUAAAGUGUGCUCUGGGCUGAAAUAUAGUGUAUGUAAAUAGAUUGUCCUUGCAAAACUUCUUUCUGGAAGGCUAAUACUCCCAGCUGCUCUGGGUCAAAAAAAAAAAAAAAAAUCAGAGAAAAGCUCUAGAAAACACAUCAGAACAUCAGAACUCCAUGCAGAAGGAAAAAAACUAAGUUUGCAUUUUUUGUGGUCUCAUUAACCUGUAGGUACUUCUGAGUUCUCCAUUUCUGCAGUAUCAGCGUACAGCGGCAUCGCACUGCUCACCAAAAAGUUGUUGGGGUCAAAUAUGAAGCAACUGUUGACUUUGCCUGAAUUCUAUUGAAUGUUCGUGUGUUACUGAUUUGAGCAUUAUAUUUUCUCCUUGUGUGGCUGUGGCAUUCCUUGGAGGGGAUGUCCGUGCCCAAGAGCCAGGUGGUGGAACCUGAGCCGAUGCUGCCGUUUGCAAGAGCAGAGGGAAGUCAUGCAGCCAGAAGUAAGAAAACUGAAGCUAGUACGUGAUUCCAGUUAUCGUGUGGUCUUUGGAAAAAACAAGCCCGUACUGCUCUAUGACCAAGCCAACAAUUCCUGAACAGUAAUUUAUAGUGAGAGCGGGCCAGAAAGACUACCAGCAUCCAACCAAAAAACACUCCUCAUGGAGAACCCGUUGUGCAGAAGAUGAAGGAUAAAAUUCCAGCUUAUUUGUGCGCACCUCUCCUAAAGAACACGGACCAGAGCACAUUAAACCCAAGUGGUCAGGUAGAGCCAUUUCGUUAAAGAGGAGCUGGAAGUUUUGACGUCGUAUGUCGUAUUUGUGAGCAUUUUGAGACAGAGUAUUUAGAAAACCUGUGGAGAUUCAGGUAUCGCCCUGGAAAGUAUCAGUUGGUUAAGUUGUCAGUAAAAAAAACCCCAAACUUUUACCACACUGCAGUGCUUAAGUACUGAAAACAUUUAACACAUCUGAAUAAAUAGUGAAAGUAGAGGAUUUUGCAGAUGACUGGGAAACGAGAAAAGAGAAAUGAUUAAUAUUCUAAAAUACAGCAGAACAGCACAUUAAGCAACUUAAAUGUCUGUAAACAUAAUAAGGACUAGAUGCAAAAAUGGUAGGGUUUUUAUUUCUUUAGAAACAGAAGCAAUAAAUCUAGAUCUCUGUGAUAAUACAAGGGAGAAAGAAGAAGCUGCUGCACGCAAACCUGCCUCCUGCCUUUUAGUCUCCUCUGUCCAGUGCCAAAAGGGUUUACCUGUGCGGACACAUACACCCAGGCAUGUACGGUGACAUAUUUUUUACAGUGGCUGCAUGUUAAAGACGUUCCCAUCUUGCUAGCUGUGCCAUGAUACCUGUGCCUGCCU